Molecule: long non-coding RNA, 1172 nt
Organism: Rhipicephalus microplus (southern cattle tick)
Lineage: Eukaryota; Metazoa; Arthropoda; Arachnida; Ixodida; Ixodidae
Source: RefSeq, a predicted model, not a curated record
UGGUACGAAGGGUGGCGUUUCUUUCCUUGUGCGAAGUGUUCUCGGGAUGCACCGUACCACCCGAAGUUGUCGUCUCGUUCUGUUGAAUUUCAGAGCCGGCGUCGACUUCAACUGUCGUAUCAUAGCACGUGCCUCUAUCAACCAUUCAAGUCUGGUGCAUCAUGGUCGCUACCUGGAACCUGAGCACGGUCUCCGGGGCUAAUUUGAAGCUCUACAGUUUGCGUUGCCGGAGCCAAGAAAUGCUAAGUGGGGAACAUGUACGAGGUCAGAGCCUCUUCCCUGGCGAUUCUUACGGAACAUCAAGGCCAUUACCAAGCAUCAAAUUCAUGACUGAGCUUGGGUGAGAGUAACAACAUUGGCGAUUGUGGUGCGAUUUUUACUGCUCUGCCUCUCGUCGAUUGUCUUGUGUCAUCAAAUUCUAAAAUUGUGCCGGUCACUUGUUAUAGGCGGACUUUGGCACAGUUCUUGCCACUGCGAGUCUUCCCCGCGAUAAAAUCGAAAGGGAACUGGCUGGAGUAGUGGCGCUUAUAGCUUCGGGUUUCGCAAACCAAAAGUGGUACGCGUCUGAAGUGACAGGUAGUGGCCGCAGCGAAUGGAGAAACAGCACAACACGCACUAACGCAAUAGUUUUAUCCUAGGCAAGUCGCGAACAGGAUGUUAUGCAUGGCUGGUGCCUGACUGUAAUGGUGAUGGGGGCCCACUUCCUAUGCCUUUGCGCUCCCAGCCACAGUUUCGUGCCAGUUACUCCUGAUACGGGACGUGGUUUUUGUGGAAGCAAGAUGAUAUUCAGGGUUAACUGCUUCAUUAUUGUCGUGCUCACUAACCUCCGUGUACCCGUAUCAGCAGUUCCAUUGUGUAGUGUUCAUGCCACGGUGGAAGCAGAUGAUUUUAUUCUUUAUCUCUCGACUCUGUUCCUGUUAAUGUAUUACAGUUCUUGUCUUUCGACGGUAGUUCCAUUUCUACCGGCCGUCACGCUUGCCUUCCUGUUUUGUUCUUCAAGCCUGGUCUUCAAUUAUCCGGACCUUGAAGAUCUUGAAAAGAUCAACUGUGGACCUUCAUCAUUGUGGUUAUAAGGGGGAAAAGAAGAGAAAAGUGAGCCCCUGCAACUGUCUGCGUCAGCAUGCGACACCUCAACAGUAGCUCACAAGAGAUGGGGGUGAGGAGGGAUUAAA